Engraulis encrasicolus (European anchovy) is the source of this 2501-nucleotide long non-coding RNA. RefSeq lists it as uncharacterized. NCBI's taxonomy places the organism in Eukaryota, Metazoa, Chordata, Actinopteri, Clupeiformes, Engraulidae. The transcript is spliced from 5 exons. The record is from RefSeq and is a predicted model, not a curated record.
AAUGUCAAUGACCAUAUUUUAACCUGCUAUUUAAGGCUGUCAUAGCCAUAUUCUUAUAACAAUGCAGUUAAGUUCAAGAGAACUAUAGUUUGGUGAUAUGGAUCCCAAACGGAAGGGAACAGCAGCGGUUUGUAGUUGUAGAGAACUAAUUAGCGCCAAGUGUUGUUAACCUGUUGUUUCUUGUUUACCUUUCACAGUAGCCCAUAGCACUUUUGUCAUAGAGAGCAACUUGGUCAGUAAAUAUGUGCCUGCUGUAUAAAGUAGCAGUAUUUGGAUGAGUUACAGCUAACACGGCAAACUUGAGACUGUAUAUUGUGUGUUUGACAGAUUUCUGACAGCGACAGCGAUGGUGAGGGAAGCAGUGUACCGAACUCUCAGAUGACUCGGACCAGGUGACCAAACCCAUGCAAAGCACAAUGACUGUGCUGAGGCGUUCCGCCCCCCUCCCCCUCCACACCACUCAAGGCACUGCGGCGGCCCAACCGCAAACUAACGGAGAUUAACAUGAGGCUGGAUGCGCUUGGCUCCCUGCUGCGUCCAUCACCAGAGGGGCCGGGAUUGCUGCGGCAGCUAGCCAAUUAAAGGAGGAGGAUGAAGGAGAGGAGUCUGACGAUGCAGACAUCGCCAUCGUAUGCAGUCCACGCCCUCGCAGGAAAACCAGCCAAUGAAAACGCUUGCAGCAGCAUCAGCAGAACACACCGGCACGACUGACAGAGCUUCUGAAGCAUGCAGUGGAAGAGCUGUCAGUCAAGCUAAAGGUCCCGCCCUCCAACCUGCUGCUGCUGCACGGACAGGCGGAACUUAACACCUCACACACUAUUGGCCAGCUAGGACUCUGCAUCGCUGACAUCUUUGUCUGGAACCAACUUCACAUCCCUCUUCACUGCACUACUGACACUGAGAUGGAAUCCACAACCCAACCACUAGUGAUCUGCAUUGGGAACCUGAAGAGUCUGUCAUAACCGCCAGGAAUGACCGUGUGACCAUUCCCGUUGCAGACGGCCUGACUUGCACAAUUGACAAGCUGUUCAAGCUUUACUGGGUCUGCAACUUGUUAUAUCCAGCACAGCUCAGCUCUGUUUUCACCUUCUUUGAAUAUGUUUAUGACGCUCCCAUCUCAACCAACAAACCAAAGGCACUACAACUUCUCUCAAAGCUUCCCAGCAGCCCAGUGAUCACUCAACAUGUGUUUAUGCCCAAAAUGUAAAUAGUUACUACAGACAUCAAGAAAAUAGUUUGGCAUCUUUGUCAAGUACACGCUUUGUCAGAUGCACAGGAUAUGAUGAUAAUUUGCAGCCAAGAUGGCUGUUCAAGUGUACAAGGACUUACUAUGUAGACACCACCUCCGUAGACAACACCAGUCCACAACAACAGAAAUGGGAGUAUCUUUCAAUGACUCUUUUGAAUCCACUGACAUUCAGACAGCCUAUGCAGCUUCAAGUAACACCUGAAGAAAGAGCAUUUUGUGUCCCUUCUCAAGGACCGAUUCUCCAUAAUUUACCACUUAAUGACAAUUUAUCUGUGUUCAUGCUUGUUAGGAUUAUUACAGGGAAUUAUUUUGAUUAUCAUUUUGGCAACACUUUAUUUUAUCAUUACAUCUAUUAGCUCUAAUACAUACAGUGUUAAUGCCUGUAUGCUGUAUAAGUAACUUGUAAGGCAUGCACUAAGCAAAAUCAAACAUACGUUAGGCAUGUAUUCGCAAAUGCCUUGUUCAUGCACAAUUUGGGAUUUAUUACCUAAUAUAACCUCAGUAAGGACCUAACAAAUGUUUGAUUUCGCUUAGUACAUGCCUUACAAGUUACUUAUACAGGCAUUAACUCAUUGAUACUGGAUGUUGCGUUGUGCAACAUUGGCCCUGGCGCCUGGAGUUUUGUAUGGCAUCAGCACCCUUUUCUGCAAGUGCUUUAGGCAUCAAUGGGUUAACAUUGUAUGUAUUAGUGCUAAGCGAUGUAAUGUUAAAAUAAAGUGUUACCAUCAUAUUUUUAAAAAAUAUAUAUGUUGUAAAACUGGACGAUUGUGAAAUUAUAUGAUGUGGCAGAUGUAAGACCCAUUGAUGUAAUGCAGAGUUUUCAUUCAGAUGAACUGUCUCUUAACCCAAGGUACAAUGUCUUUUCUUCCAAUAUGUUGGAACCUAUUUCAUAAGAAUGUUAUUUUCAAGAAUAUUUAACACUACUUCGAAUUUCAAGACUUUAGGGUUUUGUAAUACACCGGUAAUGUUGUUAAGAGAUGAUAGUGUACGAGUCAUAAUCAUCAAUACUUCAUGAAAUUCGCAGUGGUGUUAAUUAUUCUUGAAAAAGAUCACAUUUGUUAUCUCCCCCUCUUCUGAAAAGCCUAACAAAAAUAAUAUGACAGUAAAGUUAAUGUAAUACAAUUUUUUUUUUUAAUUGAAUGUAAACACAACUCUACAAAAAAAACGUUGCAGAGGUAUGUAGUCAAGACUUUUGAAGAUUGAACCUUGUAAACAAAAGUGUUUUCUAAAUAAAAGUAAACCCCCCCUGUCA